GAUGAACGCUAGCGGCAGGCUUAACACAUGCAAGUCGAGGGGCAGCAUAAAUAGUAGCAAUACUAUUGGUGGCGACCGGCGGACGGGUGCGUAACGCGUAUACAACCUUCCCUAAACAGGGGGAUAAUCUGGAGAAAUUCGGUCUAAUACCCCAUAACAUCAGAGCAGGCAUCUGUUUUGGUUAAAAUUUCCGGAGGUUGAGGAUGGGUAUGCGUAGCAUUAGCUAGUUGGUGAGGUAACGGCUCACCAAGGCGACGAUGCUUAGGGGGACUGAGAGGUUAACCCCCCACACUGGUACUGAGACACGGACCAGACUCCUACGGGAGGCAGCGGUGAGGAAUAUUGGUCAAUGGGCGGAAGCCUGAACCAGCCAUGCCGCGUGCAGGAUGACGGCUCUAUGAGUUGUAAACUGCUUUUGUACGAGGGUAAAGUGGGCUACGUGUAGCCUUUUGAAAGUAUCGUACGAAUAAGGAUCGGCUAACUCCGUGCCAGCCGCCGCGGUAA
RNAcentral lists this ribosomal RNA (504 nucleotides) under uncultured bacterium. Its description in RNAcentral is "partial 16S ribosomal RNA". It matches the Rfam family "Bacterial small subunit ribosomal RNA", at positions 28 to 523 of the family's 1533-position model. The record is from RNAcentral.